AUCCGGAAGACGAGUCCCAAAUAGGACGAAAUGCGCAUCCUGGAU
Molecule: non-coding RNA, 45 nt
Organism: Trichobilharzia regenti
Lineage: Eukaryota; Metazoa; Platyhelminthes; Trematoda; Strigeidida; Schistosomatidae
Source: Rfam